AUGGAGGGGUGGGACAAGGGCACGAAGAGCGUGGUGGGCGAGAUCCCGCUGCUGUCGACGCGGGCGGGCCCCCGGGACGGCGAUCCGUGGCGGCAGCGGCUCAAGGAGGAGUACCGCGCCCUCAUCGCCUACACCUCCGUCAACAAGGCCAAGGACAAUGACUGGUUCCGCAUCUCCGCCGCCAACCCGGAGGGCACCCGCUGGGAGGGUACCUGCUGGUACGUCCACAACCUCCGCCGCUACGAGUUCCCCCUCCAGUUCGACAUCCCCGUCGCCUACCCCCAGGUCGCCCCCGAGAUCGAGCUCCCCACCCUCGACGGCAAGACCCACAAGAUGUACCGCGGAGGGAAGAUCUGCCUCACCGUGCACUUCAAGCCGCUCUGGGCCAAGAACUGCCCGCGGUUCGGGCUCGCGCACGCUCUCUGCCUCGGGCUCGCGCCGUGGCUCGCUGCGGAGGUGCCCAUCCUGGUCGAUUCGGGCAUGGUGAAGCACAAGGACGACGAGGCUGCUCCUGCAGAUGCCGCUGCUGCGUCUGGCUCUGCCGCUGCCUCUUAG
Molecule: ribosomal RNA, 555 nt
Filed under: Triticum aestivum (bread wheat)
Lineage: Eukaryota; Viridiplantae; Streptophyta; Magnoliopsida; Poales; Poaceae
Description: partial small subunit ribosomal RNA
Source: RNAcentral